Molecule: long non-coding RNA, 263 nt
Filed under: Gopherus agassizii (Agassiz's desert tortoise)
Lineage: Eukaryota; Metazoa; Chordata; Testudines; Testudinidae
Description: lncRNA (ENSGAGG00000016760.1)
Source: RNAcentral
GUGGGAUAUAUACAGUAUAUUAAAUAUUUCUUAAGUGUAUGCAUGUAUUUUUUUUCAGAUUGCACUUCCACUUUUGGGAGACAUGGGUGCUUCUUUGAAGGGUGAUACUGGGCCGAGAGGUCCCCCAGGAAUCCCUGGUAGGGAGGGGCCAAAGGGAAGCAAAGGUGAACGUGGAGUUCCUGGGCUCUCUGGAGAGAAAGGUGACGAGGGUCUUCAAGGUGUUCCAGGACUCCCUGGUCUAACAGGAGCUAGUGGACCUUCUG